GAUGAACGCUGGCGGCGUGCUUAACACAUGCAAGUCGAACGGGAAUUACUUUAUUGAAACUUCGGUCGAUUUAAUUUAAUUCUAGUGGCGGACGGGUGAGUAACGCGUGGGUAACCUGCCUUAUACAGGGGGAUAACAGUCAGAAAUGGCUGCUAAUACCGCAUAAGCGCACAGAGCUGCAUGGCUCGGUGUGAAAAACUCCGGUGGUAUAAGAUGGACCCGCGUUGGAUUAGCUUGUUGGUGGGGUAACGGCCCACCAAGGCGACGAUCCAUAGCCGGCCUGAGAGGGUGAACGGCCAGAUUGGGACUGAGACACGACCCAGACUCCAACGGGAGGCAGCAGUGGGGAAUAAUGCAAAAUGGGGGAAACCCUGAUGAAGCGACGCAGCGUGAAGGAAGAAGUAUCUCGGUAUGUAAACAUCUAUCAGCAGGGAAGAGAGUGACGGUACCUGACUAAGAAGACCAGGAUAACUACGUG
This 478-nucleotide ribosomal RNA is filed under the name uncultured bacterium. RNAcentral's name for it is "partial 16S ribosomal RNA". It matches the Rfam family "Bacterial small subunit ribosomal RNA", at positions 28 to 507 of the family's 1533-position model. The record is from RNAcentral.